RNAcentral lists this non-coding RNA (32 nucleotides) under Mus musculus (house mouse). Lineage: Eukaryota; Metazoa; Chordata; Mammalia; Rodentia; Muridae. The record is from RNAcentral.
UGACAUUGUGCAAACCCUGAACGGCAGGAGGA